Molecule: unclassified non-coding RNA, 223 nt
Filed under: Hevea brasiliensis (rubber tree)
Lineage: Eukaryota; Viridiplantae; Streptophyta; Magnoliopsida; Malpighiales; Euphorbiaceae
Source: RNAcentral
AUUUCUCUACUAACAGCUUCCUAUUAGUGAAGGCUGAGGCUUAUAAGUCGAUAAAGAUUUAAUCCUUCUUGUGUCCUAUUUUUUUGAACGAAGAAGAAAUAGAACAGGAAAAAAUAGCUCAACACUCUGCAAAAUUUUCUAUUGGGUAUAGGAUACCGAGUAUCUGGGUUUGCUAAUCACAGGUGACUUGUGAACUUACACAACCUGGUUUUUUUCAUUUGUA